RNAcentral lists this transfer RNA (96 nucleotides) under Candidatus Nitrososphaera evergladensis SR1. RNAcentral's name for it is "tRNA-OTHER". It matches the Rfam family "tRNA". Rfam says of the family: Transfer RNA (tRNA) molecules are approximately 80 nucleotides in length. Their secondary structure includes four short double-helical elements and three loops (D, anti-codon, and T loops). Lineage: Archaea; Thermoproteati; Nitrososphaerota; Nitrososphaeria; Nitrososphaerales; Nitrososphaeraceae. The record is from RNAcentral.
GGAGGGAUAGUUGAGUCUGGGAAGGACGCUUGUCACAUGGACAAUUUCGAGUGUCACGUGGACAUGAGAGCGUGGGUUCAAAUCCCACUCCCUCCG